GGACCUUUAGCUCGGUUGAUUAGAGUAGACAGCUCAUAACCGUUCGUAGGUUCAAGUCCUACAAAGUCCA
RNAcentral lists this transfer RNA (70 nucleotides) under Bacillus cereus. RNAcentral describes it as "tRNA-Met". It matches the Rfam family "tRNA". From Rfam's summary of the family: Transfer RNA (tRNA) molecules are approximately 80 nucleotides in length. Lineage: Bacteria; Bacillati; Bacillota; Bacilli; Caryophanales; Bacillaceae. The record is from RNAcentral.